RNAcentral lists this unclassified non-coding RNA (371 nucleotides) under Hevea brasiliensis (rubber tree). Lineage: Eukaryota; Viridiplantae; Streptophyta; Magnoliopsida; Malpighiales; Euphorbiaceae. The record is from RNAcentral.
UCAUGCUCAGUCUGGGAGUUCUUAGGGCAUAUUCAAUCAAGACAAUUUUACUAACGAAAUGGUUUGUUAAAAUGAAUGUGCACUUCCUGUUUCGUUGAGAAGAGGUUUCGAAAUCGUGUACUGAAGUAUUUGUCCAAAUAUCAUUUCCCCGAAUAGUUCUUGAAAUAAAUAAAAUUUCUUGCUAUGUCAAUACUGCAAACCCACCAAUUAUUUGAAGUUCAAUGAGCCUAUAGAAGUUGUUCUUCCCUUCUUUUCAGAGUUUUGUCUAAAUAAACAAAAUUUGGACCCCUUUAGAUCUGGCUUUUUGUAUUCAAUUCUUACCUCUGAAGCUCAUUCAACCUGCAGGUCUUCCACCCUCUCCACCUUCACCU